UACGUAGGGUGCGAGCGUUAAUCGGAAUUACUGGGCGUAAAGUGUGCGCAGGCGGCCGAGCAAGUCGAGUGUGAAAGCCCCGAGCUUAACUUGGGAACUGCGCUCGAAACUACUUGGCUAGAGUGUGGCAGAGGGAGGUGGAAUUCCAUGUGUAGCGGUGAAAUGCGUAGAUAUGUGGAGGAACACCGAUGGCGAAGGCAGCCCCCUGGGCCAAUACUGACGCUCAUGCACGAAAGCGUGGGGAGCAAACAGG
RNAcentral lists this ribosomal RNA (253 nucleotides) under uncultured bacterium. RNAcentral describes it as "partial 16S ribosomal RNA". It matches the Rfam family "Bacterial small subunit ribosomal RNA", at positions 524 to 776 of the family's 1533-position model. The record is from RNAcentral.